GACGAACGCUGGCGGCGUGCUUAACACAUGCAAGUCGAACGGGAGUAUUGAAGAAGCUUGCUUUAGAGAUACUUUAGUGGCGGACGGGUGAGUAACGCGUGAGGAGCUGUCCGAUGCAGGGGGACAACAGUUGGAAACGACUGUUAAUACCCCAUAAGCCGAGAGGUAAAAGGAUUUAUCCGGCAAUGGAGGUACUCGCGUCCUAUCAGCUAGUAGGUGAGGUAACGGCUCACCUAGGCGAAGACGGGUAGCCGGCCUGAGAGGGCGAACGGCCACACUGGAACUGAGAUACGGUCCAGACUCCUACGGGAGGCAGCAGGGGGGAAUAUUGGGCAAUGGGGGGAACCCUGACCCAGCGACGCCGCGUGGGUGAAGAAAUCCUUCGGGAUGUAAAGCCCUGUUGUAUGGGAAGAGCGGAAGACGGUACCAUACGAGGAAGCCCCGGCAAACUACGUGCCAGCCGCCGCAGUAA
Molecule: ribosomal RNA, 472 nt
Filed under: uncultured bacterium
Lineage: Bacteria
Description: partial 16S ribosomal RNA
Rfam family: Bacterial small subunit ribosomal RNA
Source: RNAcentral